This 3278-nucleotide long non-coding RNA is filed under the name Triticum aestivum (bread wheat). Its description in RNAcentral is "long non-coding RNA (TAES_LNC016310)". The record is from RNAcentral. Lineage: Eukaryota; Viridiplantae; Streptophyta; Magnoliopsida; Poales; Poaceae.
GCCAGUUCUCAAUUUCUAAAUCAGCUACACUAUACUUCUUAUCAGGUUAAAUUAUCUUGCUUUGUUUCAGUCUAUAUGUAGCAUAAAAAUAGGUGACGUUGUUGGUUUGUAUGUUACACUAAGAACACCACCAUAAGGAAAAGGGCAUUGCACUUCUUUGUUUAUAUUUGGUUUGUUCCUAUUCGGUUUGAUGUAGUACUUAAUUGCUAGACCAUUUUAAGUUUCUUGUUGUUUCAUUAUAUUCACUUAUAAUAUAUUUUUCAACUAUACAAGCACUUGGGGGAGUCAGGAAAACUGAAGCAAAGACAAACACUUUUACCGGUGAUAUUGGGGCUUUUUUUAACUGAGACAUGAAAGAUGCAUCUUAUCCCCUGAGAUAUAUUGCCUUAAAUCUCUUGAUUUUUUCCCUGACAUGCUAAUAUAGAGCUAGAUAUGCAUGAUUCAUCAUACACAUUACUGUCAAUUAUCUACUGGAAUUUUUUGUCCAUAGAGGUGAUUUUGUUUGGAUCAUUAGUCUAGGUAGUGAAAUUUUUUAUCCAUAAGGCACAAGUUUAUUUUCUUUUUCACCCGGGCUACACUAAAGUAAGCAUCACCGUCAAUGAAAAGAAGGCAUACAAAUCAUGAAGUUUUGGCCUUGCCUGUGUGCCUCGUUUAAUUGUCACUUAUUUAUUUCUAGGAAGUUAUUCAAUUCUCAUCGAGCUUUCCUUAUGCUUUAAAGAAGAAAUUUAAAUACACAAUAUUUUUAAUAUCCGAGGAGACGAGAGGAGAUGAAAAAGGGCUGUAAGGUUGUACUUUGGUGCGUCUCUGGCCAAUGAUGGCUGGAUCCAUCUGACGCUCUUCCAAGCAGAGCAGUUCAGAUUUGCUUCUGACUGGUACAACAUCUAAACCUUGGCUACUCUAGCUUCUUUUUACAUCUCUUAGUAUCAACAAAUAAGUUGGUUACAGUAUAUACUUGAAGAUUGCAGCAGGCACAAAAUGCUUGGCUAACCAGCCGGUUAAUUGAGUUGUGCCUAGGAAGGAUCAGUAGAGUAGUUGGUUUUUCCUAAAAUAAAUGAGGAUUAGUUUGGUUGCCAUGUGACGGUAAGGCCAAAAAUUGGUUCUGUAAUGGUCAUAUGUGUUGUGGAGUUGGGACUUGAUUCUUUUUAAGUUGGAGUGGCUAGGUUGUCUAUAUGUAUUGCAUUAUUUUUCUAUGGUGUACUAUUCUUUCUAAAUGAUUUUUAAAAGUUUAGUAUUUAAGUUUACGACAUUAUUUUGCGGUGUACUGUCCUUUCUACAACAUACUGUUAAUAUCUUAUGCUUUUCAACAUUGCACGGUUAAAACCUUCUAUAUAAGAUCUUGCACUUUCAACAUCUGCUCAUGGCGUUGUGUGUAUUCUGCUAUGAACUGUUUACAUUAUAGAGUUGUGGUACCUACAUUUGUGCAAUUCCUUCUAGCUGAUGUUUGUUGCUCAUACUGACAAAAGGUGCAUUAACAAAUGAUAGCGGAUCAGCGGAGAAACAUGUUUCUACAAAUGUGCCAAAACUGAUGGAUUUAACUACAGGUAUUGAUGUAUUGCAUUAUCCAACUGUAAGUCUGUUCUAAACUCUAAGCCCCAUGUAAAUCUGAUGGAAGAUUGGGCCAUUUAAUUUGAACCAAAAAGGGUGAUAUGCUCUCAGUUGCUUGAAUCUGUCCAGACCUGGAAAUUAGAUGUACUUGAAAGCUUGAUAUAUGAGUAGGAGAUAGUUGAUAAAGGUGUACCUCUUUUAUAACUAAUAUCCAUUUGAUCUUCGUUAAAUUUUGUAGGAUAUGCAUUGUUCUUGAGCAUAAGAAAUCCUUUCCCUCCCUGCAUUAUCUUUAUAUGUUAUAAAAAUGUUACACAUGUUUUGGUCCUCCAAAAGAUUAUUAGCCUAUAAUGUUAAUAACUCUUAUGUAUGGUGAUUGAGUGAGAUAUCCUUUUUAUCUCCAGGCAUUUCUUUCAUGUAGUGGAUAUACAAAAUAAACUGUAUGAUCUAGACUGUAGGAGCAACUGGUGCUUGUGGGACUGGUGCUUGCAGUUGUUGUGGCAACUGUUCUUGAGGGCCGAGCUGAAUGUAUUUGAGAAAGGUCUUUGCUUCAUUUUUUUUCUUUUGACGGGAUAAUGACUUGUCGUUUCAAAACACUUAGUAUGUGAUCUAUCCAUCAAAUUAUAGUAUAAUAAUUCAGCAAAAUCCCUUUAUUUGAACGAGCAAGAAUCUGUGGUGUGCUCCUGACCUAUGUUCCCCUUUUCAAAAUGUUAGAAAGGCUAUCUUAACUUAGUCGUUGCAUAGAAAUUGGUUUUGUCUAUUAGGCUCAUUUCAUAUCUGCAUCACUUAUUUGAACGACAAUGAACACUCCACAACUGAACUCACAUAAGACGGCUGAUAGAUGAUAUCUUGUCUGCUUAGUGAUUACCUAGAAUACUGGACUUUCCACCAACUUACAAAAAUAAUUUUUGCAGGUAUAUUUCAUUUAUCACUCCCCCAGCAGACAUGAGUUCUCGUGGCGGGGUCUUUCAUACCGUCAUGUUAGGAAUUUAUUAUUGGAAUUCAUAUGAGGUCCUUCUUCAGGUUUCCACUUGUUUCUUACUUAAGUUAGCUGUCCAUUCUGGAUUUAAUGUGAAUAUUGCCUUUGUAUUCCAUAUGAAAUUCUACUAUUUGUUUUAGCUUCUGUAGUUUUCUAUUCAUAAUCCCUAGACAUUAUCGUGUGUGUGUCGAUACACUUCAUGGAUGGCGAGGUUUAAUAUCGCUUGCUUGUCGCCUUCUCUACCCUCGACAUGCGGAAGGCCAAUAAAGGUGGGGAUGAGUCAUGGAUCCUACUGGUGAUGGCUACUGGUUGUAGACGAGAUUUAAGCACAGGAAUCACAAAAGAUGUUCUCUUUCCAAGAUUUUCAUAUCAUAUUUGUCAUGGGAUCUGAUUGCUUUACCAUAUUUUCCUGGUGUGGACGAUGUUAUAGAGUGAGCUACCAUCACUUCUCUACUGACUGUAAUCAAUAUAUAUGUGUUUAUGCCAUAAAAGAUGGAUAUUUGUCGAAGCCAUUGUCGUGUCAUGUAAUUACUUGCAGAUCAACUAUAUAGUUUUGUUCGGAUUGUAAAGUGGAAACAAUAAAACCUACAACUCAUGUGUGAUUGUCAUAUGAUUAUUUACUACAUCAAGUAGUAUGGAUAUGGUACUACCAGGAUAUUAACUAUAUUCAUGAAGUCUUUAUAAAAAAAAGUAUAUUCAUGAAGUUGUAUAAACCACGUUCUACGAUUCACUUCUGUUAUGCAUAUUUACUUUCCAG